AGCGAACGCUGGCGGCAGGCCUAACACAUGCAAGUCGAACGAACUCUUCGGAGUUAGUGGCGGACGGGUGAGUAACACGUGGGAACGUGCCUUUAGGUUCGGAAUAACUCAGGGAAACUUGAGCUAAUACCGGAUGUGCCCUUCUGGGGAAAGAUUUAUCGCCUUUAGAGCGGCCCGCGUCUGAUUAGCUAGUUGGUGAGGUAAAGGCUCACCAAGGCGACGAUCAGUAGCUGGUCUGAGAGGAUGAUCAGCCACAUUGGGACUGAGACACGGCCCAAACUCCUACGGGAGGCAGCAGUGGGGACUCUUGCGCACUGGGCGAAAGCCUGACGCAGCCAUGCCGCGUGAAUGAUGAAGGUCUUAGGAUUGUAAAAUUCUUUCACCGGGGACGAUAAUGACGGUACCAGGAGAAGAAGCCCCGGCUAACUUCGU
This 432-nucleotide ribosomal RNA is filed under the name uncultured bacterium. RNAcentral's name for it is "partial 16S ribosomal RNA". It matches the Rfam family "Bacterial small subunit ribosomal RNA", at positions 29 to 506 of the family's 1533-position model. The record is from RNAcentral.